This is a long non-coding RNA of Pyrgilauda ruficollis (rufous-necked snowfinch), 369 nucleotides long. RefSeq lists it as uncharacterized. The record is from RefSeq and is a predicted model, not a curated record. NCBI's taxonomy places the organism in Eukaryota, Metazoa, Chordata, Aves, Passeriformes, Passeridae. The transcript has 4 exons.
GAGCGGCGGGAGCGGGCGGAGCGAGCGGAGCCAUGUCGGGCCGGGAGGGCGGCAAGAAGAAGCCGCUGAAGCAGCCGAAGAAGCAGACGAAGGACCUGGAUGAGACGGACCUGGCAUUCAAACAAAAACAGAAGGAGGAGCAAAAGAAACUUGAGGAGAUGAAAGCAAAAGCUGCUGGAAAAGGGCCUCUGGCCAGUGGUGGAAUAAAGAAGUCUGGCAAAAAGUAGUUUGUGAUCAAACUGCAGGGUGAGAAGUGAUCAAGUUACUCAAUGGACCUGCAGACUUCAGAGAGUCUUGAAAACACUCUGUCAUUUGGGAAACAAUGUACAUUUUGUUUAGUCACAAUAAAUCCUUUUUGUUAAGAUGUGA